Molecule: long non-coding RNA, 2372 nt
Organism: Cephus cinctus (wheat stem sawfly)
Lineage: Eukaryota; Metazoa; Arthropoda; Insecta; Hymenoptera; Cephidae
Exons: 3
Source: RefSeq, a predicted model, not a curated record
GAGUAAUAGAAACAGCCAGAGGCGAAUGGAAAGUCUUUGGACAUGGGCCAGUCGUCAUGUUUUAAGAUAUUGCUUUCUGCCGUCGAGGAAUCCGACGACCCGUCGAAACGACGGCAGGUCGUCACAGCAUCUUCCUCCGAGUCAGACGAAGAUACUGAAGAUGCAUCUCGUUUGGAUAUUUCAACCGCAACAAAAGCAGUCAUCUUUGCCUCCAGCAUCAUCUCUACGGCACAUUCGCUCUCGCGUCUCUAACUAAGAAGCUGCGCCCGUGUCAGCCAUCAGCAGUGCAUAUUCUGUCAGCUUUAUAAUGAGGGAAACCGAGGUUGUCCCGGGAACCAGGAUGGUGGAUACGAGGUAGAAAAAUGAGUCUUGCUAGUUCACCAUGGUACACAGCUACUACCGGUGGGAUGCUGGGGGUCCUGAAGGUUGCUUUGGGAACAUGAGAGAUAGAGGGAGAAAGCUGAGGGGAUCCCGUCAAGAGAUGAGGUCGGUUGAGACACCCUGGAACUGAAGAAGAAGGGUGAGUCAUGAGAGUUCUAAGUGAAUACCGAGCAAACACUAGAACGAAUGAAGAGACCUUUGGAGGUCUGCUGAAGUGGGUUGAGACGGUUGGAAAGGUUGGGAACGUGGAACUAACCGCGAGUCUCCUGAUGUAAAGAAGAAAUGACAAAAAAUAACAGUCACCCGAGAUAAGGGACACUGACUAGCUGGACUCCAUGGAGAAUCCUUAUUAAGGAACGUCUGAGGGUGCUCUCUUACAGAACAGCCAAGGAGCGGAGAAGGAAUGGCGAAACAUUAACGGCACUGGUUCGCGCCUUUCUCUCUCGUCGCAGAAAAGGAUGCCCGGCGUCCCCUUCGACCCCUCGUCGACCCACCUGGUAGCUUCGUAGCUGGAAAAUUAAAUAAGAAAACCAAAUUAACCGAGAGGAAAAUUCCUCGGCGCGAUUCUAAUAGCAGGAGGUGGAGCCGUAGGCUGGUCGGAAGAAUGGGAAGAAGAAUUGCAAGGAACACCCGGACCAAUUAACCGCAUCUAUUUCGCAAGACGACGAAAUCCCUUUUUGGUUCUCAGCAGGAAGAUCCAAGAGAAAAGGAAGAAAGGAUAAUAACGCGAGAAAUGAAGAUAGAGGAAAAAGUGAAGAAUACAAACAAAUGUCAACAUAGCCUGGCAAUGGACAAUCCUCAAGAAAUCCAUUCGAUCCUCGCUAAUGAAAAUCGGCCCCUGCAGCCACCCUCGUUAAAUAGUUAUCAUUAAAAUUAUUCGGGUGGGUCCGCACGACACAAAGUGUACAGACCUACGUAAUAAAGGUCUCCAGUAUUCAUACGUUGACAUCGUGAUACGUGGCUGUGACCUUUGAACUCGCAAAAUGGACCGUACAAAUGAUACCACGGAUGAAGAUGUUAUACACGAAGUCCGUAUCCGAUGAAGUGAAUUGCGUAAGGGGGGUAUAGGUGGGCUGCAGCGAAGGUGAUUGAAUUUAGAGUACAAAGUGACCCUUGACCCAAAUCCCAAGUACAGAGUUAGCAAGCAACCGGCACGCUCUCUACCCUUGUUACCAUCAGGUCCUGCUCACUAAAUAUGCAGUCCAGCGAAUUUCGUCCUCCCCUUAGUAUCAAACGGGACGCCGGCGUCGGCGACGGCUGGCUAGUCGUUGGCGUCGGCGUCGCUUCUACCCCCUUCCGUCCCACCCCCCCCCGUCCCAAGCAUCCCGAGUGGCCUCAACGAUGCCCACCGGUGUCGGUGCUCUUCGUCGACUGCCUAUACCGCGUCCACCCAGUGGCUCCAGGUCUCAUCGACGCCUGGCGUCUCUCUCACCCCGUGGCAGUCCUUUAACCCUCGGUCGAGGUCCCGGGCUUACUUUCGCCGGCGUCAGCCUCCCUUGCGGUCGAGUGGGCUUUAAUGAAGCUGCGGGCAAUGCGGGGAUUCGCUGCGCGCCCGGAAAAUAACAAGUAAAGCCCCGUACGCGCACCCUCGACGUACACGGGGUUGGUUGUAUGUAUGGCAUACAUAUGUACAUAUGUAAUACCCACUUGGGUUCGUACAGGCUACCCCCACAUCAACCCCUCUAAUGAUAUAGGGUGCCCUGCGCAACACCCCGAAAAAGCACCCGCUUGCCCUGUCGGCGACGAACUACCCUUCGGUACGAGGACCCUAACCAUCUUCAAAGAGAAACCCCGAGGUGGGUUCGUUCUAGCUGAAAAUUCGUAUUUCUUAGCUGCGAAGUCGAGAGGGGGUUGUUGCGCGCUUGAUUUUAGUCAAAAAGUGACGUCAGGACUGGCGGUGAUCUUGAUUAGAAAAUUUAUCAUCGGUGGUCUUGGAUACAUUUUUUGUUAUCUUUAUGGAGUUUGAAAAUUUGUUCACUGCAGUCGGACGA